GAUGAAGAACGCAGCGAAAUGCGAUAAGUAAUGUGAAUUGCAGAAUUCAGUGAAUCAUCGAAUCUUUGAACGCACAUUGCGCCCCUUGGUAUUCCGAGGGGCAUGCCUGUUCGAGCGUCAUUACACCACUCAAGCACUGCUUGGUAUUGGGCACCCGUCCGCCGAAAGGCGGGCGUGCCUCGAAGACCUCGGCGGGGUUUCACCAACUUCGGGCGUAGUAGAGUUAAAUCAAAACGUCUUACAAGCUUGGUGGGGCCUCAUUGCCGUUAAACCUUUUAUUUUUUAGGUUGACCUCGGAUCAGGUAGGGAUACCCGCUGAACUUAAGCAUAUCAAUAAGCGGAGGA
RNAcentral lists this unclassified non-coding RNA (345 nucleotides) under soil metagenome. Its description in RNAcentral is "partial contains 5.8S ribosomal RNA, internal transcribed spacer 2, and large subunit ribosomal RNA". The stretch from base 1 to 120 matches the Rfam family "5.8S ribosomal RNA", at positions 35 to 154 of the family's 154-position model. The record is from RNAcentral.